UACGAAGGGGGCUAGCGUUGUUCGGAAUUACUGGGCGUAAAGCGUGCGCAGGCGGCUUCUUAAGUCAGGGGUGAAAGCCCAGAGCUCAACUCUGGAAUUGCCUUUGAGACUGAGUGGCUUGAGUACGGGAGAGGUGAGUGGAAUUCCCAGUGUAGAGGUGAAAUUCGUAGAUAUUGGGAAGAACACCGGUGGCGAAGGCGGCUCACUGGCCCGUAACUGACGCUCAUGCACGACAGCGUGGGGAUCAAACAGG
RNAcentral lists this ribosomal RNA (253 nucleotides) under uncultured bacterium. RNAcentral describes it as "partial 16S ribosomal RNA". It matches the Rfam family "Bacterial small subunit ribosomal RNA", at positions 524 to 776 of the family's 1533-position model. The record is from RNAcentral.